AGCAGCCGCGGUAAUUCCAGCUCCAAUAGCGUAUAUUAAAGUUGUUGCAGUUAAAAAGCUCGUAGUUGAAUUUCGGGAUCAAUAUUUCGGUCAUGCCGUUGGUAUGCACUGUUAUCAUUGAUUUCUCACCUUCUAAAGAACCGUAAUGCCAUUAAUUUGGUGUUACGGGGAAUUAGGACUGUUACCUUGAAAAAAUUAGAGUGUUUAAAGCAGGCUCACGCUUGAAUACAUUAGCAUGGAAUAAUGAAAUAGGACAUCCGAUUCUAUUUUGUUGGUUUCUAGGAUCGAUGUAAUGAUUAAUAGGGAUAGUUGGGGGCAUUAGUAUUCAAUUGUCAGAGGUGAAAUUCUUGGAUUUAUUGAAGACUAACUACUGCGAAAGCAUUUGCCAAGGAUGUUUUCAUUAAUCAAGAACGAAAGUUAGGGGAUCGAAGACGAUCAGAUACCGUCGUAGUCUUAACCAUAAACUAUGCCGACUAGGGAUCGGAUGAUGUUAAUUUUUAAUAGUA
Molecule: ribosomal RNA, 506 nt
Filed under: uncultured Glomus
Lineage: Eukaryota; Fungi; Glomeromycota; Glomeromycetes; Glomerales; Glomeraceae
Description: SSU rRNA
Rfam family: Eukaryotic small subunit ribosomal RNA
Source: RNAcentral